This 424-nucleotide long non-coding RNA is filed under the name Jatropha curcas. RNAcentral's name for it is "long non-coding RNA (JCUR_LNC002097)". Lineage: Eukaryota; Viridiplantae; Streptophyta; Magnoliopsida; Malpighiales; Euphorbiaceae. The record is from RNAcentral.
AUAAUUUCAACAUAACGAUAUUCGUAUUAUUCACUUGAUUAAAAUCGAAUAAUAUAUAUAUUUAGUACUGCUAGCUAGGGUUAAAAAUGACCGACUAAUAUGCAUGGCAGCAUACCCUACAUUUCACCAAGAACAGAAGAGGCCAAAUUGCCUUAGCAGCACCCAGCAAGAAAGGGUGACAAGGAAAUGAUUUCCGUGGAAAAAUUUAUCCGUAGGGAGUGCUUAAUUCAGCUGUCGGAUAUAACAAGUUGGUGAUCGUGUAUGACCCACAAAGAGCGAUGGAUGUUUCUUUGACCCAGUCAUCUCCAAGAUCAUCUUAAAGAAGUUGCAGCUUUAAGAGCUCUCUAUAUGCAGAGACUGACAAAACUUGUGGGACUUAAAUAACAAAAUGGGAAAAACAUUGUAAAGCAAGUACUAAUGUCAG